UUCUUUUCCGUGGUACCUAAC
This 21-nucleotide non-coding RNA is filed under the name Caenorhabditis elegans. The record is from RNAcentral. Lineage: Eukaryota; Metazoa; Nematoda; Chromadorea; Rhabditida; Rhabditidae.